AUGCUCCUCUUCUUCGAUGACAUACUUGUAUUCAGUAAGACGCUGCGCGACCACAUCGAUCAUCUGCGACAAGUGCUGGAACUUCUACGCCAAGAUCAAUGGCGCGUGAAGAUGUCCAAGUGUGAGUUCAGCCAGCACAGCCUCUCAUACCUGGGACAUGUCAUCAACAACCAUGGAGUAUCUACAGAACCAACCAAGAUACGUGCCGUAUCCAACUGGACGACACCAGCUGACGUCAAGGCAGUGCGCAGCUUCUUGGGGCUAGUGGGAUACUACCGGCGAUUCGUCAAGAACUUUGGGAUCAUCGCUCGCCCUCUGUUUAACCUGCUGAAGAAAGGGGUGUCGUUCAUGUGGACACCGGUUACAGAAAUAGCCUUCCAACUGCUCAAGCAACAUCUGAUCGAAGCCCCAGUCCUGGCACUUCCAAAUUUGUCCAAGCCAUUUGUAAUCGAGACUGACGCUUGUGACAAAGGGAUUGGGGCGAUACUGCAACAGGAUGGCCACCCGAUUGCAUAUAUGAGCAAGGCCCUGAGCCCCCAGUACCAGGGCUUCUCGACCUACGAGAAGGAAUACUUGGCAGUUCUUGUAGCUGUGGACCAGUGA
RNAcentral lists this ribosomal RNA (603 nucleotides) under Triticum aestivum (bread wheat). RNAcentral describes it as "partial small subunit ribosomal RNA". The record is from RNAcentral. Lineage: Eukaryota; Viridiplantae; Streptophyta; Magnoliopsida; Poales; Poaceae.